This is a small nucleolar RNA of Nymphaea colorata (pocket water lily), 94 nucleotides long. RefSeq annotates it as small nucleolar RNA Z43. The record is from RefSeq and is a predicted model, not a curated record. NCBI's taxonomy places the organism in Eukaryota, Viridiplantae, Streptophyta, Magnoliopsida, Nymphaeales, Nymphaeaceae. The transcript has a single exon.
GGACGAUGAGGAAACGGUGAAAGGUCUCGUUCGUCGUAAUGGCUAUUGCGCCUUGCCGACCACUCUGAAAUAUCACCACCCAUAUUCUGAGUCC